This 4361-nucleotide long non-coding RNA is filed under the name Homo sapiens (human). RNAcentral describes it as "HSALNT0285987". Lineage: Eukaryota; Metazoa; Chordata; Mammalia; Primates; Hominidae. The record is from RNAcentral.
GUUUCACUUAAACAUUGCUAUGGUUUGAAUAGGUCUCUUCCAAAAUUCAGGUGUUACCAAUGUGAUAAUGCUAAAAUGUGGAGCCCUUAAGAGGUGAUUAAGCCAUGAAAACUUUCUUUGAAUGGGAUUAAGGACUUAGAGUCUUCUGGCAGCUUUAACCUCACUUGACCUUCCGCCUUCCACCAUGUAAAGACACAGCAUUCUUCCCUUCUGGAAUAUGCAGCAACAAGGUGCCAUAUUGGAAGCAGAGAGUAGCUCUCACAAGACAACCAAAUCUGUGGGUGUCUUGACCUUGAACAUCCCAGCCUCCAGAACUAUGACAAAUAAAUUUCUGUUCUUUAUAUACUGUACAGUCUGUGGUAUUCUGCUACAGCAACACAAAACUGAGUAAAACAGAAAUAGUUCAAAUGUAUUUUUAAAAUUGAAUGAAUUACUUAAGAAUAUGUUUGGUUUUGCAUCUUUUUGAGCACAAUGUUGUCACGUGUAUGUAAAAAUGCAGUUUGUAAUUCCUCAUAAUCUUCUUUCAUGUGUCAAUAUAAAAGAUGUAUUUAUUUUCCUUUUGAUAGACAUUUAAAUUGAUGCUAUGACAGCUCUUGUUAAUUUUUACUGGUGAAUUUAAAAAUGGGUUAAUUGGAAUGUCAUUUCAGGUUCUCCAGUCAGCAGACACUGAAAUGCCUACAUGACUAAGAGAUUUUUGUGGGGGUAAUAAGGGUGCCUGUUGAAAGCAAAGGGGAGAAAGCAGAAUUGGGCAGGAAAAGCCUUCAGACUUCCAGGUAUAUCUAUGAAAGUCUAGGCCAACCCAGUGGGGAGAUUUGAAGCUGGGAUUUACCAUUUGAGAGACCCUGUGUUGGGCAGAAAUAGUUAAGGUGCCGUAAAUGGAAGUUGUCAGCUACUGCACUCCUUGCAACUGAAAUGCAAGUUAUUUUGAAGUGCAAGUGAUAAAGUGUACCCAUAUGGCUGCCAAAAUGUGCCAGCAGGAUAAUCAAAAAAAUUUUUAUUUUUUUAAAUUUUUUUAUUUUUUUGAGACGGAGUCUCACUCUGUGGCCCAAGCUGGAGUGCAGUGGUGUGAUCUCGGCUCACUGGAAGCUCCGCCUCCCAGGUUCACACCAUUCUCCCGCCUCAGCCUCCCCCAGUAGCUGGGGACUACAGGUGCAUGCCAUCACACCUGGCUAAUUUUUUUCUGUAUUUUUAGUAGAGGCGGGGUUUCACCGUGUUAACCAGGAUCAUCUGGGUCUCCCGACCUCGUGAUCCACCCGCCUUGGCCUCCAAAAGUGCUGGGAUUAAAGGCUUAAACCACCGUGCCUGGCCUUAGGAUAAUCAAAUUUUUAAUUUUAUAAGGUAAUACUAAUUACUUUCUAAAUUAGUUGUACCAAUUUAUGUACUUACAAGCAGAAUGUAAGAUUUUCCACUGGCCCACACCUUUUCCAAUAUUAUAGAAAUUUAGACUUCCUAAGUUUAGAAACAUGUACAAAACUUUUUAUAUUAUUGUGUUAAUAAUAGCAAAAAUCUAAACAUAACCUAAAUGUCUAUCAACAAUAAAAUGAAUAAGUUGCAGUUAUGAUCAUACAAUAGGCUCUUAUGCAGCUCCACCUAUCAAUUUAGAUAAACCUCAGAAAACAUAAUAAUGUGUGAAAGAAGCAAGUCACAAAAAUGUAUACAGUAUGAUUCCAAUGUUAUAAAGGUCAUAAACAGACAAAAUGAAACAAUAUUUUGUUUAGGAACACAUACAUAGGUGUUAAAGCUAAAAUGAAAAGAAAAUGAAUGAUUAAUUUUACAUUCAGAAUGUAUCUGUUGAGAAGGAAAGAACACAUAGGGUAUUUAUGGAGAUAAAUAUAUUCUAUUUAUAUUACUUAGAUUGAGUGUUUGCUUCAUGAUUGUAUAUGGGCUCAUAUGUUCAUUUGUACAUAUUCUUCCAAACAAUUGUUUAAAUAAUGUUGUAUCUCACAACUGAAAAUAUUUUCAACAAAAGAAAAAGUGGUCCAUACUCGCUGCUUCCUAAAUAUUAAUGUAGCAGGAAAUAGUUCACAUUAAGAACUAGUGUUUCCAAAGAUUACAAAAGGCUUGGAAGGACUUGGAUAGCAGAUUUUAUGAGCACACAAGUCCUAAGACUCAAGCAGGCCUUUCAGGCAGUGCUUCCCUAAAUUUUAUUUGUUUACAGAUCACGUAGAGAUUUUGUUAAAAUGUAGAUUCAGCGACUCUGCCUCCUCUCACCCUCCAUCCUCCACCUUCUGGUAGCCCCCAGUAUCUGUUGUUCCCCUUUUUGUGUCCACCUCUUCUUGUCAUUUAUUUCCCACUUUAAGUGAGAACAUGCAGUAUUUGGUUUUCUGUUACUGCAUUAGUUUGCUAAAGAUAAUGGCCUCCUAUUGGGUACUAGGCUUAGUACCUGAGUGAUAAAAUAAUCUGUACAUCAAACCCCCAGGACAUGAGUUUCCCUAUAUAACAAACCUGCACGUGUAUCCCUGAACCUAAAAUAAAAGUUUAAAAAAAUGUAGAUUCUGAUUCAGCAGGUCUGAGGUGAAGCCUGAGACAUUUCAUUUCUAACAUGCUCCCAGGUGAUGCAGAUGGAUCCUACUAGUUUUUGAACCACAUUUUGUGUUGCAGUGAUUUAGAGCACUUGCUAUAGAAACAGUACACAGGUGGGUUGAAGAGCGAAAUCAAUGUUUAUCCUUUACUAAGGAAAUCACAAUGGUAAUCGAGAUGAAAGGACAGAAAUAAAAACAAAUGAAUUAGGAAUUCGAAUAAACUACAAUAAUGACAGAAUUAAAGGAACGUACUUUAAUCCACUGGGAAACAUUUAGGGAAACAUUUAUAGUAGUUCCUUGAAGCAAGUUGUCAAAGGGAGGCAGAAAGCAAUCUAAUCUGGGCAUUUGGAGAGUUGGUUAGUUUCCUUAAUGUUAAAUCCCUUUGGGUUUUUCCCCAAGCCCUGCAAUACUAAUAUCUGUGAGCUCACCAAUGAAAAACAUGAUUGGAGGGGCAUUUUAAUAGCAAUAUGCUCAUUGGAAAAGAUUAUUCAAAUAAAAGGAAAAGAAGCCUGUCUGAAAUAAAGAGUUCACCGUACAAAAUAAGUUUGAAAGAAAAAAAAUCAACAUAUGUACAAAAAUUAACAAACAAAAUAUCUGAAAAACACUAUUAAAAUUAUUAGUGAGACCUUCUCCUAUGCCACUAUAAAACAUAAAACAAUAAUUAACUUCAGUUGAUAUUCUAAUCAUCUCAGAUUUUGAAUUCGUGAGGACUGCAUUAAUACAAUUUAAGCAGUGACGUGCUAGUAAAUGCUUAACAAUCAGGUCUCCCAAGAAAAGUAGAUAGAUGAUGGUAGAUAGAUAGGUAGAUAAGUAGAUAGAUAGAUAGAUAGAUAGAUAGGGUAGAUAGAUGAUAGAGAAAUAAAUGUUAGAGUGAUAAACAGAAAUUUAGAUAUAGAAAUAUAGAUAUGUAAACAUUAUGAAUGUUACAUGUAAACAUUUAUUAUGAAUGCUACUAAAGAUUUAUAAAGGAUGUAUAAUACAUAAUUUAAAAAUAAUCAGGUGUACAUUACUCUGUAUUGUAAAUUCCUUUUAUUAAAUUCAUUUUCCGGCAAUGCUUUUUUUUUUUUUAAUUUUUGCUAGAUCCUUGUAUUUAUUGCCCUAUUUUGGUUGCAAGUGACUAAUGAGUAUAGCUCUGGCAUGAAUGUUGAUGGAUGUUUCAGUUUCACUUUAUUAAAGAAAAAUAACAAAAAUAUUUUGGAGUUCACUUAUUUGUUGAUUAUUUUGCUGAAUCAAAUAAUACUUUUAGAAAUCUAGAAGAAUAUUCCUCAUUUUUGUGCUAUUCAUCCAAAAAUAAGCUACAAGCACAACACAUUCCUAAGUUUAAUCUGCAUUAUUAACUUUUCUCCUUCACUUUCUUAAAUCUAAACAAUUAGCAAGUUCUGAUCUAUAGUGUUUCUGGUUUCCAUGAUGCAGGUACUCCUACCAUGACCAAAUCUCAGCUACCAGUGUGAUGUCGUUAAUAAGGGAGUUGGGAAAAGAUUUAUAUUAUAUAGAAUUUUCACUCUAAAGACAAAAUAGAAAUAAAAGAUUUCAGGGCCUAGAUGAUAAUAAAAGGUAGUACAAUAAUUAAAAAGCGAUGUUUUGAGUAUUUAACUUUUCAAACAUCAUUACAUAUAUUUUGCUAUAACUACAUAAAAUACAUAUAAAAACAAUGAAAUGUAAUUUGACAAAAUAAUGGUAGUUAUAUUAGCGUGGCAUUUUUUCUUUCUUUUUAAGUUUUCUGUAAUAUGGUUUGUUGCCUUUUUAAAAAUAAACUUAGAAUUUUAUAACAAUUUUAGAUUUAGCAAAAAAUUGUGAAGAUAAUAAAGAAAACUGCUACAUACCCAACACCAAGUUUCC